Molecule: ribosomal RNA, 270 nt
Filed under: uncultured prokaryote
Description: partial 16S ribosomal RNA
Rfam family: Bacterial small subunit ribosomal RNA
Source: RNAcentral
ACGGAGGGUGCGAGCGUUGUCCGGAAUCACUGGGCGUAAAGGGCGCGUAGGCGGCUGGGGAAGUCGGCGGUGAAAGCCCGGAGCUCAACCCCGGGUCGGCCGUGCGAACUGCUAGGCUUGAGCACUGUAGAGGCAGGUGGAAUUCCGGGUGUAGCGGUGGAAUGCGUAGAGAUCCGGAAGAACACCGGUGGCGAAGGCGGCCUGCUGGGCAGUGACUCGCAAGAGUCAAUAGCUGACGCUGAGGCGCGACAGCGUGGGGAGCAAACAGGA